This is a long non-coding RNA of Zea mays, 562 nucleotides long. RefSeq lists it as uncharacterized. The record is from RefSeq and is a predicted model, not a curated record. Lineage: Eukaryota; Viridiplantae; Streptophyta; Magnoliopsida; Poales; Poaceae. The transcript is spliced from 2 exons.
GGAUCCGUACAUGACACUAGAGUACUACAAGAUACUUUGAUAACUUAUGCGGACAGGUUCCCCCAGCCACCAGAAGGUAAAUACUAUCUUGUCGAUUCAGGUUAUCCAAAUAGAAAGGGCUACCUUGCACCUUAUAAGGGUCAGAAGUACCACAUUUCUGAAUGGCAAAAUGCGAGGCAACCUAUUGGUAGCAAAGAAGUUUUUAACUAUGCACACUCUUCGCUACGCAAUGUUAUAGAGCGAUCGUUUGGGGUGCUUAAAAUGAAGUGGAGAGUUCUAUUAAGUCUCCCUUCUUUUUCGCUUACCAAACAAUCCAAGAUAAUUAUUGCUUGUAUGACAUUGCAUAACUUCAUUAGAGAGAGUGCUCUACACGAUAGAGACUUUGAUGAAGUAGGACCUAGUAGCAGCAGUCAUGAUGUACCUUUAGGUGAGAGUAGUAGUACCACAUCUGAUGAGUUAGACAUGAGUGCUUUUCGAGAUGCAAUUGCUAAUGCUUUAGUGGCGUAGUUAAGUAUGACAAUGUAACGGGACUUAUGAUGUAAUCAACUGCACUAAUUAUUGU